GCUCAGGAUGAACGCUAGCUACAGGCUUAACACAUGCAAGUCAAGGGGUAGCAGGGUAGCAAUACCGCUGACGACCGGCGCACGGGUGAGUAACACGUAUCCAACCUUCCCAUAACUCGGGGAUAGCCUUUCGAAAGAAAGAUUAAUACCCGAUAGUACUUAAGAAAGGCAUCUUUUUUAAGUUAAAGAUUUAUUGGUUAUGGAUGGGGAUGCGUUCCAUUAGAUAGUUGGUGAGGUAACGGCUCACCAAGUCUUCGAUGGAUAGGGG
RNAcentral lists this ribosomal RNA (268 nucleotides) under uncultured Bacteroidota bacterium. Its description in RNAcentral is "uncultured Bacteroidetes bacterium partial 16S ribosomal RNA". It matches the Rfam family "Bacterial small subunit ribosomal RNA", at positions 22 to 289 of the family's 1533-position model. Lineage: Bacteria; Pseudomonadati; Bacteroidota. The record is from RNAcentral.